Anastrepha ludens (Mexican fruit fly) is the source of this 216-nucleotide long non-coding RNA. RefSeq lists it as uncharacterized. The transcript is spliced from 3 exons. NCBI's taxonomy places the organism in Eukaryota, Metazoa, Arthropoda, Insecta, Diptera, Tephritidae. The record is from RefSeq and is a predicted model, not a curated record.
UCGAUUUUGUCUUACAUAUGGUGGUAGUCGAUUAUUUGGAGUCGCCUUUCUGCUGCCGAAAACUACCGGUUGGUGAAUUUUCAUACACGUUUUUAGAACAGCGUUUUUGCAAAUAUAAUAGUGACCACCUUACAUACAAUACAUAAACAGUUAACUUCACAGACGAGCAAGUGCAGCGGAAGAUGUGUGUUGAAGAGCUGGUUUUUAGAAACGGAG